Molecule: ribosomal RNA, 424 nt
Filed under: uncultured bacterium
Lineage: Bacteria
Description: bacterial SSU rRNA
Rfam family: Bacterial small subunit ribosomal RNA
Source: RNAcentral
GGGAAUAUUGGACAAUGGGGGAAACCCUGAUCCAGCGACGCCGCGUGUGUGAAGAAGGCCUGCGGGUUGUAAAGCACUUUUAGUGGGGACAAAAAGCCAUGGACUAAUACUCUGUGGUCUUGAUUUAACCUACAGAAAAAGCACCGGCUAACUCUGUGCCAGCAGCCGCGGUAAUACAGAGGGUGCGAGCGUUAAUCGGAAUUACUGGGCGUAGAGCGCGCGUAGACGGUUUUGUAAGUCAGAUGUGAAAUCCCUGGGCUCAACCUGGGAACUGCAUUUGAGACUGCAUGGCUAGAGUAUCGAAGAGGGAAGUGGAAUUUCCGGCGUAGCGGUGAAAUGCGUAGAUAUCGGAAGGAACACCAGUGGCGAAAGCGACUUCCUGGUCGAAUACUGACGUUCAUGUGCGAAAGCGUGGGGAGCAAAC